RNAcentral lists this ribosomal RNA (864 nucleotides) under uncultured archaeon. Its description in RNAcentral is "bacterial SSU rRNA". It matches the Rfam family "Archaeal small subunit ribosomal RNA", at positions 1 to 872 of the family's 1478-position model. The record is from RNAcentral.
UUCCGGUUGAUCCCGCCGGACCUGACUGCUAUCGGAUUGGUACUAAGCCAUGUGAGUCGUUGCAGCAAUGCAAGGCAGACGGCUCAGUAACACGUAGUCAACCUAACCUAUGGACGGGGAUAACCUCGGGAAACUGAGAAUAAUACCCGAUAGAUCAUGAUACCUGGAAUGGUUUAUGGUUCAAAUGAUUUAUCGCCAUAGGAUGGGACUGCGGUCUAUCAGCUUGUUGGUGAGGUAAUGGCCCACCAAGGCUAUAACAGAUACGGGCUCUGAGAGGAGGGGCCCGGAGAUGGGUACUGAGACACGGACCCAGGUCCUAUGGGGCGCAGCAGGCGAGAAACCUUUGCAAUGUGCGAAAGCACGACAAGGUUAAUCCGAGUGAUUCCUGCUAAAGGAAUCUUUUGUUAGUCAUAAAACCACUGAUGAAUAAGGGGUGGGCAAGUUCUGGUGUCAGCCGCCGCGGUAAUACCAGCACCUCGAGUGGUCAGGAGGUUUAUUGGGCCUAAAGCAUCCGUAGCCGGCUGCUCAAGUUUCCGGUUAAAUCCACACGCUUAACGUAUGGGCUGCUGGAAAUACUGUUCAGCUAGGGAGUGGGAGAGGUAGACGGUACUCGAUAGGAAGGGGUAAAAUCCUUUGAUCUAUUGAUGACCACCUGUGGCGAAGGCGGUCUACCAGAACACGUUCGACGGUGAGGGAUGAAAGCUGGGGGAGCAAACCGGAUUAGAUACCCGGGUAGUCCCAGCUGUAAACGAUGCAGACUCGGUGAUGUAUUGGCUUAUGGCCAGUGCAGUGCCGCAGGGAAGCCGUUAAGUUUGCCGCCUGGGAAGUACGUACGCAAGUAUGAAACUUAAAGGAAUUGGCGGG